Molecule: long non-coding RNA, 763 nt
Filed under: Ananas comosus (pineapple)
Lineage: Eukaryota; Viridiplantae; Streptophyta; Magnoliopsida; Poales; Bromeliaceae
Description: long non-coding RNA (ACOM_LNC014255)
Source: RNAcentral
AUUAUUUAGUUGAAAAUCAGCUAAUUUAAGGCCUAAUUAUACUUAGGGCGCGUUUGGUUCGAGUUAUGUAAAUUACAGAGUAUCUCGAUAUAUCCAGAUAUUUUGAAUUUCGGCGUGAAAUUACUACUGAUGCUUCAUUAGUGCGUUUGGUUUAAUGCAAUAAUAUAAUACUGGAUUGCAGUAUUUAUAGCAUUAUUACGUUUAGUUCAAUCUAUAAAAUUUAAUAAUCCUAACAUAAAAAUAUAGUUUUUAACAAAAUUGCUCUUGUUGUAGUCAUUUGAAUAUUAUUUUUUACUAAAAUAUAAUUUGCACUAAUAAAUUAAUUAUAUUAAUAAGUAAUAAAAUAAAAAGAUCAAACAUAAAAAAAAUUAACGUUGCAAAAAAUUUAUUUCAACCCAUAAAAUAAUAAAUAAAAAAAUAUCAUUAUACAUAAUGAAGAAGUGAUUAAAAAUGUAUGCGGAAAUGGCAAAUGGAGGGAAGGAGAUUGUGAUGUGGGAGGGCAACGCAAUAGAAGAUGAUAGGUGUUCGUGAGAGAGAGAUAAAAAUAAUGUUGUUAAUUGGGUUUGGGGUUGUUGGAGGGUAAAAUUAUUAUUUUACAUAAUAUGUAGUAUUACCGGUUUUCAGAAAUGCAAGAUACACGAUCCCCCUCCCGUUAAUAUUUUCGGUAUAAUUGUGCUUGAUUUGUAAUACUACAUUAACAACUAAAUUACAUAGCGAAUAAACCAAACACAGUAAUACGCACCCUUAAGUAGAUGUCAAAUAU